Molecule: ribosomal RNA, 454 nt
Filed under: Callyntra cantillana
Lineage: Eukaryota; Metazoa; Arthropoda; Insecta; Coleoptera; Tenebrionidae
Description: partial large subunit ribosomal RNA
Rfam family: Bacterial large subunit ribosomal RNA
Source: RNAcentral
UCAAAAACAUGUCCUUUUGAAAAUAAUUUAAGGUCUGACCUGCCCAAUGAAUAUUUAAAUGGCCGCAGUAUUUUGACUGUGCAAAGGUAGCAUAAUCAUUAGUUUUUUAAUUGUAAGCUGGAAUGAAUGGUUUGAUGAGAAAAUAACUGUCUCAAUUUAAUUGUUUUAGAAUUUUAAUUUUAAGUGAAAAAGCUUAAAUUUUAAAGGAAGACGAGAAGACCCUAUAGAGUUUAAUAUUUUUAUAUUAUGAUUGGUUUUAGAUUUAUUUAAAAUUUUAAUGUAAGAUUAUUUUAUUGGGGUGAUAUUAAAAUUUAAUAAACUUUUAAUUUAUUGAAACAUUUUUUUGUGAAUAUUUGAUCCUAGUUUUUAGAUUAUAAGAUAAAAUUACCUUAGGGAUAACAGCGUAAUUUUUUUUAAGAGUUCUUAUCGAAAAAAAAGUUUGCGACCUCGAUGU